CCCUUAGAUGUUCUGGGCCGCACGCGCGCUACACUGAUACAUGCAACGAGUUUAUAACCUUGAUCUGACGGUCUGGGUAAUCUUCAAACUGUAUCGUGUUAGGGAUCGAUUCUUGCAAUUUUUAAUCGUAAACGAGGAAUUCCUAGUAAACGCAAGUCAUCAGCUUGCAUUGAUUACGUCCCUUCCCUUUGUACACACCGCCCGUCGACUCUACCGAUUGAAUGGUUCGGUGAAAACUUUGGACUGUGGCAUUGUCCUUCAUUGGACUUCGCCGUAGGAAAUUGUUUAAACCUCAUCAUUUAGAGGAAGAAUAAGUCGUAACA
This 323-nucleotide ribosomal RNA is filed under the name uncultured eukaryote. RNAcentral describes it as "partial 18S ribosomal RNA". It matches the Rfam family "Eukaryotic small subunit ribosomal RNA", at positions 1470 to 1796 of the family's 1831-position model. The record is from RNAcentral.